UACGGAGGGUGCGAGCGUUGUCCGGAAUCACUGGGCGUAAAGGGCGCGUAGGCGGCCUGAUAAGUAGGGGGUGAAAUCCUGCGGCUUAACCGCAGGGCUGCCUUCUAAACUGUCAGGCUGGAGCACAGUAGAGGCAGGUGGAAUUCCCGGUGUAGCGGUGGAAUGCGUAGAGAUCCGGAAGAACACCGGUGGCGAAGGCGGCCUGCUGGGCAGUGGCUGACGCUGAGGCGCGACAGCGUGGGGAGCAAACAGG
RNAcentral lists this ribosomal RNA (253 nucleotides) under uncultured bacterium. RNAcentral's name for it is "partial 16S ribosomal RNA". It matches the Rfam family "Bacterial small subunit ribosomal RNA", at positions 524 to 776 of the family's 1533-position model. The record is from RNAcentral.